Molecule: non-coding RNA, 70 nt
Filed under: unclassified sequences
Description: potC RNA
Rfam family: potC RNA
Source: RNAcentral
AUGAUUGUGCUCAAAUCUUUCUCCUUAGGAUCUUUACCCUUUCCUAUAAAUUAGUUUUGGGCACAAAAAA